Molecule: ribosomal RNA, 1417 nt
Filed under: metagenome
Description: bacterial SSU rRNA
Rfam family: Bacterial small subunit ribosomal RNA
Source: RNAcentral
AGAGUUUGAUCCUAGCUCAGGAUGAAUGCUGGCGGCGUGGAUAAGGCAUGCAAGUCGAAUGGGUUUAGACCCAUGGCAGACGAGGUAGGAACACGUAGGUACGUACCGGAGAGUCAGGGAUAUUCCAUCGAAAGAUGGCGCAACACCUGAUGGUCCCGAGAGGGUAAAGAUUUAUCGCUCUCUGAACGGCCUGCGUAGUAUCAGCUAGUUGGUAAGGUAAUGGCUUACCAAGGCUAUGACGCUUAGGGGAGCUGAGAGGCUGACCCCCACCGAUGGAACUGAGACACGGUCCAUGCUCCUACGGGAGGCCGCAGUCGAGAAUCUUCCGCAAUGGACGAAAGUCUGACGGAGCGACGCCGCGUGCAGGAUGAAGUCCCUCGGGACGUAAACUGCUUUUGUGCGCUAGAAAGUUUAUUGAUCAGCGCAAGAAUAAGGGGCUCCUAACUCUGUGCCAGCAGGAGCGGUAAUACAGAGGCCCCAAGCAUUAUCCGGAUUUACUGGGCGUAAAGGGUGCGUAGGUGGUCGUAUUAGUCUCGCGUCAAAUCUCCCCGCUUAACGGGGAACCUGCGCGGGAAACGGUACGACUUGAGGAUGUGAGAGGUGUGCGGAACUCACGGUGUAGGGGUGAAAUCCGUUGAUAUCGUGGGGAACACCAAAUGCGAAGGCAGCACACUGGCACAUUCCUGACACUGAGGCACGAAAGCGUGGGUAGCGAACGGGAUUAGAUACCCCGGUAGUCCACGCCCUAAACGUUGUUCUCUGGCUAUAGGGAGUAUCGACCCUCUCUGUGGCGAAGCUAACGCGUUAAGAGAACCGCCUGGGUAGUACGAUCGCAAGAUUAAAACUCAAAGGAAUAGACGGGGACUCGCACAAGCGGUGGAUUAUGUGGCUUAAUUCGAUGCCAAACGAAGAACCUUACCAAGAUUAGAAAUGCAGCUGCACGCUCUGGGAAACCAGAGAAGCUUUCGAAGGUGCUGCACAGGUGAUGCAUGGCCGUCGUCAGUUCGUGGCUUGAGCUGUUCCCUUAAGUGGGGAAACGAACGCAACCCCUAUUGCCUGUUUUACGUGUCAGGCGAGACUGCUCCCUUACGGGAGAGGAAGGCAGGGAUGACGCCAGGUCAGCAUGUCCCUCUGAUAUCUUGGGCUGCACACAUAAUACAAUGGUUGGUACAACGGGAUGCGAACGCGCGAGCGGGAGCUAAUCCUUUAAAACCAAUCUCAGUACGGAUUGAAGUCUGCAACCCGACUUCAUGAAGCUGGAAUCGCUAGUAAUCCCGGGUCAGCUAUACCGGGGUGAAUACGUUCUCGAGUCUUGUACUCACCGCCCGUCAACUCAAGGGAGCUGGGAAUACCCGAAAUUCGCAUUUACUGCGGAUGACGGUAAGCUCAGUGACAGGGAGUAAGUCAUAACAAGGCA